RNAcentral lists this ribosomal RNA (530 nucleotides) under uncultured bacterium. RNAcentral describes it as "bacterial SSU rRNA". It matches the Rfam family "Bacterial small subunit ribosomal RNA", at positions 775 to 1296 of the family's 1533-position model. The record is from RNAcentral.
AGAUAAUAGAUACCCAGGUAGUCCUGGCCCUAAACGAUGUCCACUAGAUCGCAGUGCCUCUGACGGUAUUGCGGUCGAAGCCAAAGUGCUAAGUGGACCGCCUGGGAAGUACGGUCGCAAGGCUAAAACUCAAAGGAAUUGACGGGGGCUCACACAAGCGGUGGAGCAUGUGGUUCAAUUCGAAGCAACGCGCAGAACCUUACCUGGGUUUGACAUGCUGAGAUUAUCCCCGUGAAAGCGGGGUAGGCCCUUCGGGUACAACCAGCACAGGUGCUGCAUGGCUGUCGUCAGCUCGUGUCGUGAGAUGUCGGGUUAAGUCCCAUAACGAGCGAAACCUUUGCCCUUAGUUACCAUCGGGUUAAGCCGGGGACUCUAAGGGGACUGCCGGUGUCAAACCGGAGGAAGGUGGAGAUGACGUCAAGUCCUCAUGGCCUUUAUGCCCAGGGCUACACACGUGCUACAAUGGCGUGGACAAAGCGAACCUAAAGCGCAAGCUGGUGGAAAUCGCAAAAACUCACGCCCCAGUUCAG